UCCUCUCUUUAUUAUGUUCAAUCUGAACUGUAACAAAAUAUCUUGUAAUGUAUCUGAUAAUUUCGCCCUUGAUAAACCCUGCAAACACAUGUCUACUGUGACAGCUUUUACGCUCAAGAUAAAGGAAGACAUUUGUCGGUUUAAAGUGUGUUUUCACAUCCAAAAUAUUUUUACUAUAAAAUCUUGUUCCUUUGAAAAUAUUAACAUCAAGAAAUAUUAUUUCUUUAGAUGAGAAUUCUAGUGUGAAUUUC
This 251-nucleotide long non-coding RNA is filed under the name Mytilus galloprovincialis (Mediterranean mussel). The record is from RNAcentral. Lineage: Eukaryota; Metazoa; Mollusca; Bivalvia; Mytilida; Mytilidae.